Molecule: ribosomal RNA, 477 nt
Filed under: uncultured bacterium
Lineage: Bacteria
Description: partial 16S ribosomal RNA
Rfam family: Bacterial small subunit ribosomal RNA
Source: RNAcentral
GAUUAACGCUGGCGGCGUGCAUAACACAUGCAAGUCGAACGAUGAAACUUAGUAGACUUCUUCGGAAAGACACUAAGCGGCUUAGUGGCGAACGGGUGAGUAACGCGUGAGUAACCUGCCUUACACAAGGGGAUAGCCUUUGGAAACGAAGAAUAAUACCCUAUAAAACCAUAAAAGCACAUGCUAGAAUGGUCAAAGUGAUAGCGGUGUAAGAUGGACUUGCGUCUGAUUAGCUAGUUGGUGAGAUAAAAGCUCACCAAGGCAACGAUCAGUAGCCGGCUUGAGAGAGUGUACGGCCACAUUGGGACUGAGACACGGCCCAGACUCCUACGGGAGGCAGCAGUGGGGAAUUUUGCACAAUGGGGGAAACCCUGAUGCAGCGACGCCGCGUGAUUUAGAAGGCCUUCAGGUUGUAAAAAUCUUUUGUAUAGGAAGAAAAUGACAGUACUAUACGAAUAAGGUCCGGCUAAUUACGUG